GAUUUAAAUUUAUCCUUUCCUUAAUUGGUUUCCUAAUUUGAUUCGACUGAUUCGACUUGAACUUUAUCUUAAUUUAAUCAUAUCAAAUUAAUAAUACAAUAUUUGCACAUAAAUCCUCUCAUAAUUUACUAACUAUUAGUAAGUCCUCUCUUAUAACAUUUAUACUUUAAUACCACUAAUUUGUAACAAUUAUAAAUUAGUCCAAUUAUCAACAUAUUGACAAUUAGGUCCUCCGGCAAUUUAAAAAUCGUGAUCUAGCUAUCCGAUCAGUUACAACCUCUUAUGUGUGUGAACCCAUAGAUUCUAUUCUAUUUGGUAGUGAGAUAUAUUUUGAUCACUUUCAACAAUAUCACUG
This 355-nucleotide long non-coding RNA is filed under the name Ananas comosus (pineapple). RNAcentral describes it as "long non-coding RNA (ACOM_LNC024251)". The record is from RNAcentral. Lineage: Eukaryota; Viridiplantae; Streptophyta; Magnoliopsida; Poales; Bromeliaceae.